GAUUGUGGCUCAGUGGUAGAGCGCUUGCCUAGUAUGUGUGAGGUACUAGGUUUGAUUCUUAGCACUGCA
RNAcentral lists this transfer RNA (69 nucleotides) under Marmota monax (woodchuck). Its description in RNAcentral is "tRNA.Thr". The stretch from base 4 to 64 matches the Rfam family "tRNA", at positions 6 to 65 of the family's 71-position model. Rfam says of the family: Transfer RNA (tRNA) molecules are approximately 80 nucleotides in length. Lineage: Eukaryota; Metazoa; Chordata; Mammalia; Rodentia; Sciuridae. The record is from RNAcentral.